RNAcentral lists this ribosomal RNA (133 nucleotides) under uncultured bacterium. RNAcentral describes it as "partial 16S ribosomal RNA". The record is from RNAcentral.
GUACCGUCAAUCACACCGGCAUUACCUCCGGCGCGCCUUCUUCCCCAAUGACAGAGGUUUACGACCCGAGGGCCUUCAUCCCUCACGCGGCAUUGCUCCGUCAGGCUUGCGCCCAUUGCGGAAAAAUUCCCUA